UACGUAGGGGGCAAGCGUUGUCCGGAAUCAUUGGGCGUAAAGCGCACGUAGUCGGCUUUGCAAGCCGGUUGUGAAAUCCCCGGGCUCAACCUGGGAACUGCAUCCGGGACUGCAUUGCUAGAGUAUGGGAGAGGGAAGCGGAAUUUCUGGUGUAGCAGUGAAAUGCGUAGAUAUCAGAAGGAACAUCAGUGGCGAAGGCGGCUUCCUGGACCAAUACUGACGAUCAGGUGCGAAAGCGUGGGGAGCAAACAGG
RNAcentral lists this ribosomal RNA (253 nucleotides) under uncultured bacterium. RNAcentral's name for it is "partial 16S ribosomal RNA". It matches the Rfam family "Bacterial small subunit ribosomal RNA", at positions 524 to 776 of the family's 1533-position model. The record is from RNAcentral.